CCUACGGGCGGCUGCAGUGGGGAAUAUUGCACAAUGGGGGAAACCCUGAUGCAGCGACGCCGCGUGAAGGAAGAAGUAUCUCGGUAUGUAAACUUCUAUCAGCAGGGAAGAUAGUGACGGUACCUGACUAAGAAGCCCCGGCUAACUACGUGCCAGCAGCCGCGGUAAUACGUAGGGGGCAAGCGUUAUCCGGAUUUACUGGGUGUAAAGGGAGCGUAGACGGUGUGGCAAGUCUGAUGUGAAAGGCAUGGGCUCAACCCCGGGACUGCUUUGGAAACUGUUAAGCUGGAGUGCUGGAGAGGUAAGCGGAAUUCCUAGUGUAGCGGUGAAAUGCGUAGAUAUUAGGAGGAACACCAGUGGCGAAGGCGGCCUACUGGGCACCAACUGACGCUGAGGCUCGAAAGUGUGGGUAGCAAACAGGAUU
This 424-nucleotide ribosomal RNA is filed under the name uncultured Streptococcus sp. RNAcentral describes it as "bacterial SSU rRNA". It matches the Rfam family "Bacterial small subunit ribosomal RNA", at positions 338 to 779 of the family's 1533-position model. The record is from RNAcentral. Lineage: Bacteria; Bacillati; Bacillota; Bacilli; Lactobacillales; Streptococcaceae.